GCGGGGCUGCCCGGUGCGUCCGGCACUUUAUCCCCGGGGCCAGUAAGCAAUCCCAGGGAGCUGGCUCUGUCGUGGCCCUGGUCACGGUACCUGGCGCCCACCUGCAAACGCAGGCCUUGGGAGGAUGAGACGCCAACGGCCAUGGCGGCUCCGCA
This 155-nucleotide non-coding RNA is filed under the name Acidisphaera sp. Its description in RNAcentral is "6S RNA". It matches the Rfam family "6S / SsrS RNA". From Rfam's summary of the family: E. coli 6S RNA was the first non coding RNA to be sequenced, but its function was unknown until recently. It consists of 184 nucleotides that fold into an extended hairpin structure with a large single-stranded internal bulge. The 6S RNA specifically associates with RNA polymerase holoenzyme containing the sigma70 specificity factor. The record is from RNAcentral. Lineage: Bacteria; Pseudomonadati; Pseudomonadota; Alphaproteobacteria; Acetobacterales; Acetobacteraceae.